GACGAACGCUGGCGGCGCGCCUCAUACAUGCAAGUCGAGCGAGAACCAGGGCUUGCCCUGGGGAGAGCGGCGAACGGGUGCGUAUCACGUGAGCAACCUGCCCCGAAGACCGGGAUAACUCGAGGAAACUCGGGCUAAUACCGGAUGUCCUCGGUGGACCGCAUGGUCCGGCGAGGAAAUGGAUUCCGCUUCGGGAUGGGCUCGCGGCCUAUCAGCUUGUUGGUGGGGUAAUGGCCUACCAAGGCGACGACGGGUAGCUGGUCUGAGAGGACGAUCAGCCACACUGGGACUGAGACACGGCCCAGACUCCUACGGGAGGCAGCAGUAGGGAAUCUUGCGCAAUGGGCGAAAGCCUGACGCAGCGACGCCGCGUGCGGGAUGAAGGCCUUCGGGUCGUAAACCGCUUUCAGCAGGGACGAAAUUGACGGUACCUGCAGAAGAAGGCCCGGCCAACUACGUGCCAGCCGCCGCGGUAA
RNAcentral lists this ribosomal RNA (476 nucleotides) under uncultured bacterium. RNAcentral's name for it is "partial 16S ribosomal RNA". It matches the Rfam family "Bacterial small subunit ribosomal RNA", at positions 28 to 523 of the family's 1533-position model. The record is from RNAcentral.